Molecule: non-coding RNA, 84 nt
Organism: Acanthosepion pharaonis
Lineage: Eukaryota; Metazoa; Mollusca; Cephalopoda; Sepiida; Sepiidae
Source: the annotation of a GenBank genome assembly
UUAAACACAAGUUCCCAUAUGAUCACCAAAGUUAAGCAAUAUCAAGCUUGGUUAGUACCUAGAUGGGUGACUGCUUGGGAAUUU